Molecule: non-coding RNA, 602 nt
Organism: Odocoileus virginianus texanus
Lineage: Eukaryota; Metazoa; Chordata; Mammalia; Artiodactyla; Cervidae
Source: RefSeq, a predicted model, not a curated record
CCCGGAGACGUUCACAAGCUGCUCCACGUAUGGGUCUCUGGUUCCAGACAAGCCUGCACUGGAGAGGCGGUCAUGGACCUCUAGAUGGUCAAGUUCUAUCUGCAAAAAUUGAGUUUGUGGUGCAAGUACAUGGUGUUUAAUACUAGAAUAGUUCAUGCAAACUGGACAAGAUCCACAUCGGCAUCUGACAGCCUCACAUCUCUGGCCUGGACUAGCAACAGCCUGCAACCAGCUUGCUGAUGUCUUAGUUGGCUCCAGCCAUGGCAGCGCCGUGCCAUGAGGACACUAAAGCAGUCCUGUGAAGAGGCCCACAUGGACACGAAUGAGCCCUCCCACCACCAGCCAGCACCAACUUGCCAGCCACCCGAGGGUAUCGUCUUAGAAGCAGAUCCUCAUUUUCCCAGGGAAGUCCUCAGAUAAAAUCCCAGCCCUGAGCCUUUGGGUUUCCCAGCUGUGGCCACAGUCUCCACGGAGUCCCUGACCCACUGAAAUUGUGAGAGAGAAUAAAAGAGAUUGCUGUGCCAAGUCACUAAGUUUUGAGAUCAUUUGUUAUGCAGCAAUAAACAACCAAUACAGUGCUAAAGCCCUGUGUCUGCUGAGAG